This 435-nucleotide long non-coding RNA is filed under the name Zonotrichia albicollis (white-throated sparrow). RNAcentral describes it as "lncRNA (ENSZALG00000010841.1)". The record is from RNAcentral. Lineage: Eukaryota; Metazoa; Chordata; Aves; Passeriformes; Passerellidae.
CGUUUUCAGAGACAGUGGAAGAUACAGAAUCAUUCUUACAUUAUGUUUCUUCUUUGAAGAGGAACUUGAGACACAAAUCUAAUGGCAUAGGAAGGCACUGAAAUAAGGCAUUGAAAUAAGGUAAGAGGUUGUCAAGACAUUACAAUGUUAAGGACUUCACUUUCCCAACACUCUAUGGACAAAAAUUGUCUCUUCAAAUUGUGAAAAAGGAAACUGGAUUUUAAAGGUGUCACAUGAAUUUUUGAGCCAAAUUAACACACAGCAUGAUUUUUAAAAUUACUGACAAAGGUUGUUUGAGUUGCUCUGUGAAUUUCUGUCUAUAUUUGGAGGAUGUGUAAACCAUUCAGAAACACUGUCCAGCUGAGCUGAAAACUAAGCAGAGAGUGGACAAUCCUGCCUAAUAAAAUCCUUGAAGUUUUGAGUACUUUCUUUGCA